This 253-nucleotide ribosomal RNA is filed under the name uncultured bacterium. RNAcentral's name for it is "partial 16S ribosomal RNA". It matches the Rfam family "Bacterial small subunit ribosomal RNA", at positions 524 to 776 of the family's 1533-position model. The record is from RNAcentral.
UACAGAGGGUGCAAGCGUUAAUCGGAAUUACUGGGCGUAAAGCGCGUGUAGGCGGUUUAUUAAGUCGGAUGUGAAAGCCCUGGGCUUAACCUGGGAACUGCGUUCGAUACUGGUAGACUAGAGUCGGGCAGAGGGUGGCGGAAUUUCCGGUGUAGCGGUGAAAUGCGUAGAUAUCGGAAAGAACACCAGUGGCGAAGGCGGCCACCUGGGCCCAAACUGACGCUGAGGCGCGAAAGCGUGGGGAGCAAUCAGG